Molecule: ribosomal RNA, 801 nt
Filed under: uncultured Streptococcaceae bacterium
Lineage: Bacteria; Bacillati; Bacillota; Bacilli; Lactobacillales; Streptococcaceae
Description: bacterial SSU rRNA
Rfam family: Bacterial small subunit ribosomal RNA
Source: RNAcentral
AGGAUGCACCGUAGUUUACUACACCGUAUUCUGUGAGUUGCGAACGGGUGAGUAACGCGUAGGUAACCUGCCUGGUAGCGGGGGAUAACUAUUGGAAACGAUAGCUAAUACCGCAUAAGAACAUUUACUGCAUGGUAGAUGUUUAAAAGGUGCAAAAGCAUCACUACCAGAUGGACCUGCGUUGUAUUAGCUAGUUGGUGAGGUAACGGCUCACCAAGGCAACGAUACAUAGCCGACCUGAGAGGGUGAUCGGCCACACUGGGACUGAGACACGGCCCAGACUCCUACGGGAGGCAGCAGUAGGGAAUCUUCGGCAAUGGGGGGAACCCUGACCGAGCAACGCCGCGUGAGUGAAGAAGGUUUUCGGAUCGUAAAGCUCUGUUGUUAAGGAAGAACGUGUGUGAGAGUGGAAAGUUCACACAGUGACGGUACUUAACCAGAAAGGGACGGCUAACUACGUGCCAGCAGCCGCGGUAAUACGUAGGUCCCGAGCGUUGUCCGGAUUUAUUGGGCGUAAAGCGAGCGCAGGCGGUUAGAUAAGUCUGAAGUGAAAGGCAGUGGCUCAACCAUUGUAGGCUUUGGAAACUGUUUAACUUGAGUGCAGAAGGGGAGAGUGGAAUUCCAUGUGUAGCGGUGAAAUGCGUAGAUAUAUGGAGGAACACCGGUGGCGAAAGCGGCUCUCUGGUCUGUAACUGACGCUGAGGCUCGAAAGCGUGGGGAGCGAACAGGAUUAGAUACCCUGGUAGUCCACGCCGUAAACGAUGAGUGCUAGGUGUUAGGUCCUUUCCGGGACUUAGUGCC